Molecule: transfer RNA, 72 nt
Filed under: Planctomycetia bacterium
Lineage: Bacteria; Pseudomonadati; Planctomycetota; Planctomycetia
Description: tRNA-Ile
Rfam family: tRNA
About the family: Transfer RNA (tRNA) molecules are approximately 80 nucleotides in length.
Source: RNAcentral
GGGCCUGUAGCUCAACGGCAGAGCAGGGGACUCAUAAUCCCUUGGUUCCGGGUUCGAAUCCCGGCGGGCCCA